GCCGCGAUGGCAGAGUGGUCGAACGCACCUGCCCGCAGAGCAGGAUCACAUCGGUCUGGAAACCGGCGGUUUCCAGAGCAAACCCGGCGGCCGCAACGCAGUGAGCACGUCCGGACGUGGUUCGAAUCCGAUCCGCGGCU
Molecule: transfer RNA, 140 nt
Filed under: Halorientalis regularis
Lineage: Archaea; Methanobacteriati; Methanobacteriota; Halobacteria; Halobacteriales; Haloarculaceae
Description: tRNA_Cys_GCA
Rfam family: tRNA
About the family: Transfer RNA (tRNA) molecules are approximately 80 nucleotides in length. Their secondary structure includes four short double-helical elements and three loops (D, anti-codon, and T loops). Further hydrogen bonds mediate the characteristic L-shaped molecular structure. tRNAs have two regions of fundamental functional importance: the anti-codon, which is responsible for specific mRNA codon recognition, and the 3' end, to which the tRNAs corresponding amino acid is attached (by aminoacyl-tRNA synthetases). tRNAs cope with the degeneracy of the genetic code in two manners: having more than one tRNA (with a specific anti-codon) for a particular amino acid; and 'wobble' base-pairing, i.e. permitting non-standard base-pairing at the 3rd anti-codon position.
Source: RNAcentral